Molecule: ribosomal RNA, 451 nt
Filed under: uncultured organism
Description: partial 16S ribosomal RNA
Rfam family: Bacterial small subunit ribosomal RNA
Source: RNAcentral
GUACACUCCUACGGGAGGCAGCAGUGGGGAAUAUUGGACAAUGGGCGCAAGCCUGAUCCAGCCAUGCCGCGUGAGUGAUGAAGGCCCUAGGGUUGUAAAGCUCUUUCACCGGUGAAGAUAAUGACGGUAACCGGAGAAGAAGCCCCGGCUAACUUCGUGCCAGCAGCCGCGGUAAUACGAAGGGGGCUAGCGUUGUUCGGAUUUACUGGGCGUAAAGCGCACGUAGGCGGACUAUUAAGUCAGGGGUGAAAUCCCGGGGCUCAACCCCGGAACUGCCUUUGAUACUGGUAGUCUUGAGUUCGAGAGAGGUGAGUGGAAUUCCGAGUGUAGAGGUGUAAUUCGUAGAUAUUCGGAGGAACACCAGUGGCGAAGGCGGCUCACUGGGUCGAUACUGACGCUGAGGUGCGAAAGCGUGGGGAGCAAACAGGAGUAGAUACCCGUGUAGUCCCAU